RNAcentral lists this ribosomal RNA (885 nucleotides) under Triticum aestivum (bread wheat). RNAcentral's name for it is "partial small subunit ribosomal RNA". Lineage: Eukaryota; Viridiplantae; Streptophyta; Magnoliopsida; Poales; Poaceae. The record is from RNAcentral.
UUUUCAAGAGUGUGUUUGUUUGACCGUAUCAUGAUAGACCCCUUGUAUAUCCAGUAAAACAGCACUUUCCGUUCGUUGGUUGUUAUAAAAAUGAAUAUUUGGUUGAUAUACACUUCGUUGAAUAAUGUUAAGUCAACACGUGUUCGGUUGGAUUGUAAAGGAUACGUAUAUACGUCCAGUCCUAGCGAGUGUCCGUUUUGCUUAGCUGUUAAGACCGAAGUUCAAAGAUUUCUGGAACAUGGGUCUUAGAAACUUCUUAGUUUAGUUCCCCUCUCCCCUCUUCUGCAGGGUCGUCGAGGGGCUCUUGCUCACGGGUGAAGGGAUGUAGAGUCCCUUCGCCUUCGCGGGGCUUGGGGAGCGACUAAGCUCGCUGUCGAUGAGUUCUUCAAAGGAAGGGAGGGUGCUAUUGCUGCGGUUGCCGGGGGAGUCAAGUAACUUUUAUACUUCUCCUCGUCGCAUCAGAUACACCAACGACAAAACAGCCCACGGAACAGUACCAACCCGUUACAGCGAGGCUGGGGUUCUCGUGGAUGCUUCUACCGGUACUGUUGCGCUGAUACCACCGGAGCAGUAAUCUACUCUCGUUUGAAUGGUAUUUUACCACACAGCGUUCCCUAACAUUGUGGUUUCCACUUGGUUUACGGGUAGUGACGAAAACGACGGAGUUACGCGUCCCUCGAGGAACAAAGUCAAGGUCUCCUCUAACGGUCCUAGUGACGGGUUGAAACGGUGGGCCUUUUAUUCCUACAAGAUCGACUAUACAUAAACUAGUGUAGGGAAAAUCAAGGUCUCCUCUAAAGGUCCUAGUGACGGGUUGAAACGGUGGGGCUUUUAUUCCUAAAAGAUCGACUAUGUCAUACAUAAACUAGUGUAGGGAUGGAUCGA